This 253-nucleotide ribosomal RNA is filed under the name uncultured bacterium. Its description in RNAcentral is "partial 16S ribosomal RNA". It matches the Rfam family "Bacterial small subunit ribosomal RNA", at positions 524 to 776 of the family's 1533-position model. The record is from RNAcentral.
UACGUAGGGUGCAAGCGUUGUCCGGAUUUAUUGGGCGUAAAGGGCUCGUAGGCGGUUCGGUAAGUCCGCUGUGAAAUCUCUGGGCUCAACUCAGAGUCUGCUGUGGAAACUGCCGUGCUUGAGUGUGGGAGAGGUGAGUGGAAUUCCCGGUGUAGCGGUGAAAUGCGUAGAUAUCAGGAGGAACACCGGUGGUGUAGACGGCUUUCUGGACCGGAACUGACGCUGAGACACGAAAGCGUGGGGAGCAAACAGG